CCUACGGGUGGCAGCAGUGAGGAAUAUUGGUCAAUGGGCGCGAGCCUGAACCAGCCAAGUAGCGUGAAGGAUGACUGCCCUAUGGGUUGUAAACUUCUUUUAUAUGGGAAUAAAAUGUUCCACGUGUGGGAUUUUGUAUGUACCAUAUGAAUAAGAAUCGGCUAACUCCGUGCCAGCAGCCGCGGUAAUACGGAGGAUCCGAGCGUUAUCCGGAUUUAUUGGGUUUAAAGGGAGCGUAGGUGGAUUGUUAAGUCAGUUGUGAAAGUUUGCGGCUCAACCGUAAAAUUGCAGUUGAAACUGGCAGUCUUGAGUACAGUAGAGGUGGGCGGAAUUCGUGGUGUAGCGGUGAAAUGCGUAGAUAUUACGAAGAACUCCGAUUGCGAAGGCAGCUUACUGGACUGCAACUGACACUGAGGCGCGAAAGUGUGGGUAUCAAACAGGAUUAGAUACCCCAGUAGUC
RNAcentral lists this ribosomal RNA (460 nucleotides) under uncultured bacterium. RNAcentral's name for it is "partial 16S ribosomal RNA". It matches the Rfam family "Bacterial small subunit ribosomal RNA", at positions 338 to 795 of the family's 1533-position model. The record is from RNAcentral.